RNAcentral lists this ribosomal RNA (501 nucleotides) under uncultured bacterium. RNAcentral describes it as "partial 16S ribosomal RNA". It matches the Rfam family "Bacterial small subunit ribosomal RNA", at positions 30 to 523 of the family's 1533-position model. The record is from RNAcentral.
AUUGAACGCUGGCGGCAGGCUUAACACAUGCAAGUCGAGCGGAGAGAGGUAGCUUGCUACUGAUCUUAGCGGCGGACGGGUGAGUAAUGCUUAGGAAUCUGCCUGUUAGUGGGGGACAACAUUUCGAAAGGAAUGCUAAUACCGCAUACGUCCUACGGGAGAAAGCAGGGGAUCUUCGGACCUUGCGCUAAUAGAUGAGCCUAAGUCGGAUUAGCUAGUUGGUGGGGUAAAGGCCUACCAAGGCGACGAUCUGUAGCGGGUCUGAGAGGAUGAUCCGCCACACUGGGACUGAGACACGGCCCAGACUCCUACGGGAGGCAGCAGUGGGGAAUAUUGGACAAUGGGCGGAAGCCUGAUCCAGCCAUGCCGCGUGUGUGAAGGAGGCCUUAUGGUUGUAAAGCACUUUAAGCGAGGAGGAGGCUACUUUAGUUAAUACCUAGAGAUAGUGGACGUUACUCGCAGAAUAAGCACCGGCUAACCCUGUGCCAGCCGCCGCAGUAA